AUGGUAGAAACUAUUUGUGGCUCAUCUGAUAGCUGUUGUGAUAACAAAUGCAUCUUCCUUUAUACGACCAUAUUGUCAGUGCGAGGGGCAUCUGACCCUGAAGAGCAUUUCAGGAGCACCACUGUGAUUAUCGGAGAUGUACCAAGCAGUUUUUUCCUACUUGAGGAAAAAAAAAGUGACAAGUGAAUUUACUAAACUGUGGAUAAACUCUAACAAUAGCUGCUAAUUGCCACUGGCUGCCUCUUCUUUUACUUUCUAAAAGUAUGUUCUGACUUACAUGGAGUUUUCAGCUUCACCAAUAUGGCUCCGUUCCUAAGUACAUUUUCAUAAUACAGGCAAUUAAAUUGUGGAAUAGUCUUCCAAGAGAUGCAGCAAAAACAUGAUUGCUUUGGCCUACCUAGCUGAAAUGUUUCUGUGGGGAAGAAUCGUGAGCUCACGGAUAAAUAGUACCACAGAUUAUCCUCCCAACACUAAUUUCGGAGACUCUCUCGGGAAAUUAUGAAGGCUUUCAAGGUCCUCAUAUUCCCCUUUUGAAGAACAGAUUACAUUUUGAGAUCCACAGAUUCCACCUGUCCAGUGGAGAAGAGUAAAUUUUAGAAGCGAAUUGCUCCAUUUUACAAUUUGGGGCAAAUACACUGGGAUUUUUUCAGAUGUUUGCUCAGUCUGUCUAGGAGGAGAAAGUUGGCAGUAUUUGCAGUUUCCAAAAACAGGUGUGAAAUAAAUUUAAGGUUUAUAGGGUGAUGAAUACCCCACUGAAAUCAGCCUAGCUCUCAGAUGGCCAUGGUUUGCAACUGAGGAAAGGAUGCCAGAAAUCUGUGGAGCUCUAGGCUGUUGAUUGCAAAUCGCUACUUAUAUACCCUGCCAAUUUUGUCUCUUCCCUAGGUGCAAAUGGCAGCCAUUCCAGUAAGUGUCUGUGGGCCCGAGUGAUACUUAUAUUUUUUUUUUUGCUAGUAAUUCCAGAUUUCAUAAAGGAGAGUGACAGAGAGAGUUCGCAGAUUUUGAAGCUUGCUAUUAACAUUUUUAAAAAGCAAAAUGUUUAGCAUCUCUACUCGGUAGCAGAUGCUUUAAAUCACUAAUUAUUGCCUCAACGUCUGCUCCUAGAAAUAAAAAGUUUGGGGUAUCCACCCAAACCCUACUUUACAAAUGUGUAUGCCUGAUCUGUUCUUGAUAAAUUCAACCAGGAUUAUUUUCCUCCUGAGGAUCCCCCCAAAGAAAAGAGGGGUGUAUGAUCAUGGAUCUGAAGUCAUCACCAUCUCCAAUCCUUAGGGAAGCUAGUUUGGUAUAAAUUCUAAAUCAGCCAAAAAUCAACAAAAAUAUCCCAAUUCACAGCUCAGAGAGGCUUGAUGGAAAAUGAACAUUGCUACAAAGAAUCAAAGAAUACAAACGUUUUCUUAAUAAUCAACCCACCAACUACUCCAAAAACGUUUCUACCAAACUGAUGUGUUCCAUCAUGAGGGUCAAGUUUUUAAAAUUAAAUAACAUGAUGAACAAUAAAAAGAAAGAGACCUAUCAAAUUAAUCAUCACAAUAUCUAGCA
This 1536-nucleotide long non-coding RNA is filed under the name Sarcophilus harrisii (Tasmanian devil). RNAcentral's name for it is "lncRNA (ENSSHAG00000026734.1)". The record is from RNAcentral. Lineage: Eukaryota; Metazoa; Chordata; Mammalia; Dasyuromorphia; Dasyuridae.